Molecule: small RNA, 795 nt
Filed under: Pongo abelii (Sumatran orangutan)
Lineage: Eukaryota; Metazoa; Chordata; Mammalia; Primates; Hominidae
Description: retained intron
Source: RNAcentral
GGUUUAUUACUACUGAAGGAAGAACGUGAGUAGGCCAGAUCAGAAAAGGGAGCUCAGGUACCUUCCAGAGAGUGAGACCCAGCGCCCUUGUCUCGCACCCCGUAGGCUUUCAUCCCCGCCAUGGCGGAGCUGAUCCAGAAGAAGCUGCAGGGAGAAGUGGAGAAAUAUCAACAGCUACAGAAGGACUUAAGUAAAUCCAUGUCGGGGAGGCAGAAACUUGAAGCACAACUAACAGAAAAUAAUAUCGUGAAAGAGGAACUGGCCCUGCUGGAUGGGUCCAACGUGGUCUUUAAACUUCUGGGUCCGGUACUAGUCAAACAGGAGCUGGGGGAGGCUCGGGCCACAGUAGGGAAGAGGCUGGACUAUAUCACAGCUGAAAUGUGAGUUUUUAUUCCACCACCGUGUGCUGCAAGUGAAUCAUUGGAGUAGAGGUGUUGAACCAUUGCAGAACAGCUCUCCAUAGUGGCCCCUAGUCCUCCAGUUCCUCCAACCCUUUCCUUCCCUUUUAACCCCCCUUCUUCUCCCUCCCCUAGAUCUCAAGUUUUCCACCUAUCUCUUGCGUUUAGCACCCUCCAUAGUUAAGUCCUACUGAUUUCUCCCUUUCUGCUUGUCUCCCUUGUCUCUCCUUAGUAAGCGAUACGAAUCCCAGCUCCGGGAUCUUGAGCGGCAGUCAGAGCAACAGAGGGAGACCCUUGCUCAGCUGCAGCAGGAGUUCCAGCGGGCCCAGGCAGCAAAGGCAGGGGCUCCUGACAAGGCCUGACCCCAUGGUCGGGGGUGGGGAGGGGAGGGGAGGGG